UCCGAGUUGACCCCGGCAGUCUCCCACGAGUCCCCGGCAUUACCCGCUGGCAACAUAGGACAGGGGUUGCGCUCGUUGCGGGACUUAACCCAACAUCUCACGACACGAGCUGACGACAACCAUGCACCACCUGUGUAGCGCCCCGAAGGACACCGCAUCUCUGUGGCUUUUCGCUACAUGUCAAGCCUAGGUAAGGUUCUUCGCGUUGCAUCGAAUUAAUCCACAUAAUCCACCGCUUGUGCGGGUCCCCGUCAAUUCCUUUGAGUUUUAAUCUUGCGACCGUACUCCCCAGGCGGUCAACUUCACGCGUUAGCUUCGUUACCAAGGGAAUUAAUCCCCCGACAACCAGUUGACAUAGUUUAGGGCGUGGACUAC
RNAcentral lists this unclassified non-coding RNA (375 nucleotides) under uncultured bacterium. Its description in RNAcentral is "contains 16S-23S intergenic spacer region". The record is from RNAcentral.